CCUACGGGAGGCAGCAGUGGGGAAUAUUGCACAAUGGGGGAAACCCUGAUGUAGCGACGCCGCGUGAGUGAAGAAGUAAUUCGUUAUGUAAAGCUCUAUCAGCAGGGAAGAAAAUGACGGUACCUGAGUAAGAAACCCCGGCUAACUACGUGACAGAAGCCGCGGUAAUACGUAGGGGGCAAGCGUUAUCCGGAUUUACUGGGUGUAAAGGGAGCGUAGACGGCAGUGCAAGUCUGGAGUGAAAGGCGGGGGCUCAACCCCCGGACUGCUCUGGAAACUGUACGGCUUGAGUGCAGGAGAGGUAAGUGGAAUUCCUGGUGUAGCGGUGAAAUGCGUAGAUAUUAGGAGGAACACCAGUGGCGAAGGCGGCUUACUGGACUGUAACUGACGUUGAGGCUCGAAAGCGUGGGGAGCAAACAGGAUUAGAUACCCUUGUAGUC
This 440-nucleotide ribosomal RNA is filed under the name uncultured bacterium. Its description in RNAcentral is "partial 16S ribosomal RNA". It matches the Rfam family "Bacterial small subunit ribosomal RNA", at positions 338 to 795 of the family's 1533-position model. The record is from RNAcentral.